GGGUCAAGUCCCUCUAUCCCCA
RNAcentral lists this transfer RNA (22 nucleotides) under Impatiens sp. RHT430. Its description in RNAcentral is "partial tRNA-Leu". Lineage: Eukaryota; Viridiplantae; Streptophyta; Magnoliopsida; Ericales; Balsaminaceae. The record is from RNAcentral.